CUCUGCUAUAAAAUAGAAGCUGUCGACAAUAAUCAAGUAAUUGUAAGUCAACUCUGGAAAUAGAAUCCUGUAUUAUCUUACUAGCUUGCUUGCUGCAGUAGACUUCUUUGCUUUAUUAACUAUCGGUUGCUGAUGAACCACAAUUAAGGAUGCCAUCCCAUAAGAGACGAUAUCUGCUGAGGGAUCAAAAAGACUUUUCUGGAAACUGAAAUUAUUAAACUGAAUACAUGUAGAGACUUCAAGGUCCUCUCCCUUCGUCCUGGAGGUCCUCUUGCGUAACUGCCCAUCACGCAAAUGAACAACUUGACAAUCGCGUGGACCAAUCAAGUCGCCGGCGGAGCCAUUGGACACGGCUCA
Ctenocephalides felis (cat flea) is the source of this 357-nucleotide long non-coding RNA. RefSeq lists it as uncharacterized. The record is from RefSeq and is a predicted model, not a curated record. NCBI's taxonomy places the organism in Eukaryota, Metazoa, Arthropoda, Insecta, Siphonaptera, Pulicidae. The transcript has 3 exons.